UACGUAGGGGGCAAGCGUUAUCCGGAUUUACUGGGUGUAAAGGGAGCGUAGACGGUGAAGCAAGUCUGAAGUGAAAGGCGGGGGCUCAACCCCCGGACUGCUUUGGAAACUGUGCGGCUCGAGUGCGGGAGAGGUAGGCGGAAUUCCUAGUGUAGCGGUGAAAUGCGUAGAUAUUAGGAGGAACACCAGUGGCGAAGGCGGCUUACUGGACCGUAACUGACGUUGAGGCUCGAAAGCGUGGGGAGCAAACAGG
RNAcentral lists this ribosomal RNA (253 nucleotides) under uncultured Eubacteriales bacterium. RNAcentral describes it as "uncultured Clostridiales bacterium partial 16S ribosomal RNA". It matches the Rfam family "Bacterial small subunit ribosomal RNA", at positions 524 to 776 of the family's 1533-position model. Lineage: Bacteria; Bacillati; Bacillota; Clostridia; Eubacteriales. The record is from RNAcentral.